AUUUGGUUGGAGUUUAAGAAGUCUGAGAGGAAUGGUUUAAUCUGUAUAUGAAUGUCAGUUAAAUUGGUAAAUUACUUUUGGUUACAUAACCAUGAAGUUCCAUUAGCUGGUGUCCAAGUAUAGUAACUACAUUGUAGGAAGAUAUUAUUUGUUUCUCAGCUUCAAAGCAUUUAUUUACAAGUAUCUAGAGGCCUCUUGUGAUAGAAUUCAUAUCUAUUGUGAAUUUCCUAUUUAUCUGGAGGAGGAAGAUGGAAAAUAUAUUUGCAUAACAAUGAAUUGGUAUAUUCUUGUAGAUCAUUCAUCUCUAAAGAUUUCUCGCGUGCAUACUUCAUUUUCUCCAUAGGAUUGCCUCAAUGUGAGUGCAUGUGUUGCUGUUGAUAAACCUUAUGUAUGAAAUUAGAUAUUGAUUGUUAGGAUAUUACUUUGUCCUGCUGAGUUGCAUAAUGUCAACCACUUUGAAUGUUAUCGUGUAUUCGAAAAGGCUAAUUAGAAAAGAAAAAUGAAUUCGUUCUAGAUGGUAAUGUCAUUUGCUAAGGGUGUUCUGAAAGUUAAGAGAUGUCAAGUUCCUGGCUAUUGAUCUUUGUGAAGUUAUGCACCAUUGUUAAUCGUGUUCGAUUGCAAAUUGAAGUGGUUAUAUUCAUGCUUUUAGAUAUUCUAUUUCUUGUACAUAUUAUAAACAUGCUUUUACAUGUGCCUUAAUUGGAAUGUGAGCAACAACUCAAAUAAUUUUGCAUUGUCAUCUUGUAGUUUAAAGAGUUCGGUCCAAAUAAAAUGAUAUGUCUAAAUACUUUUUAUUUUUCAAUUAUUAUGUUACUCACAUUUUAACUAACUAUCCAUAAUGAGUUUUAUACAUAUAACACACAUUAUUUGUUAGUUAUAAUUUAACAUUAAUGGGUGAUGGUUUAAUGAUACAAGAAGGAAGUUCUGUAAAAGCAACAGGAAGAAUUGCUCAGGUUCAACAAGGGACCUGUAGAUUGAAUGAGUAACCAAUGGGUCAAAAUUAAUGACGUAUAAUUUAACUUCCAAAUCAUGUCUGGUAACUAUGCCGCUAUCCCUCUUGCCCCAACUUAUAUUUUCUUAUACCCCUUUUGCAUAGUGAAUACAUCAAGCACAUCCUGUUCUUAAUGUGUAUUAUUUGUUCGUAUUGGUGUAGUAGGUUUCAUUUAUAUUUUGAGCCCUUGUUUGAGCCACAUUAUUGAAAUGAAAAUGCAUUUUUGAAUGGUGUAUUGAUGGAAAAUGUGGUUAAAAAUGAGGAAAAAUUUUGGAUUUGCGUGUAAUAUUAUUUUAUUGAAAAUGUGUGGUUAAAAUGAUGUCAAAUCAUUGUUGAAUAAUGCAUUUUUUUCAAAUAAUGUGGUUCAAAUAGGGCCUGAGUAAUGCUAUUUAGCCCCACUGGGGUUGCAAUUUUCAUUUUUCAUUUAAUCUAUCAUUAAAUGUUACUAAAAUUGGGAUUGCAAUUUCAAUGGGGUUACAUAGCAUUACUCGUAUAUAAAUGUCAAUUAAAUAGAAACAGAUGAUAUUGAGUUUCAGAAGAGUACUAGAAAUAUUUCCAUUCUCAAACACGAAUUCGAAGAGGUUGGAGCAUGUUGGCUGCAGUUGGUCCUUGCUGGUGCAGAAAAUAGUGGUUGAGUUGCUCAAAAUCAAUUGUUUGAUUUCCUUGUGAAUCCAUAAUUGGGAUGAAGCUUCAAACUUUGAUCCAACAAAUUUACAGCCUUCUUUGUACUGGCCCAAACCGGCUGGUUAAGUCCAAUUUGCAUAAUUCAAUUCUGUUUGUGAAAAUUAAAAUUGAGAAUCUUGAUUCUUGGUUAUAAUACUUAGGUCCCGUUUGUUUCUCAUUUUUAUAAGAAUAAAAAUAAAAAAUAUAGUUGUUAUGGGCUUCUACAUGAGAUAGAAUUCAAAUAUGGUAACUUGAUGUAAUGGAUAAAUGUCAUAUUUUUCAUUUUAAUGAGAAAAGAAUGGGAAACAAACAUGGACUUAUAAUUGGAAAUCUGGUCUAGUUUGAUGUGUAAUAUAUCGAUGGUCGUUGUGAAUUUGAUUAGUCUUGGGAUCGAGUUGUGACAAUGUGUAUAGGUUUGGGACUAGUGCUGCAAUUUUCCUAUAUUACUUUUUUUCCCAGAAAGAAAGAAAUAUAUCCGAAUCUCCUUUAUAGAAUCUUUUAUGUUUAUGAAAUCGUUGUGUCAUGCAACAAUAUAUAUUACAACUGCGUAGCGCUAUUUUUUUUCUCAAUUAAGACUGAAAGUUCAACCAUCCACCAAUUGAGCCCUGUUUAGCUCCCAUUGUUUUCAAAUUUUAAUGGCCAACUGCGAAGGUGUGGCCGCAGAUGGUGUUGAUGGGGCAGAAGAAAUGGCUGACUGGUGGGUUGUGAGAAUGCUGGUGGAGUCAACUGUGGAGAUGUGGCAGCGGUUGGCAGUGAUGGGGACGGUGUUGAUUAGAUGACAUUAUCAGGUGGAGAGCUGGCAGCAGUUGGCGGUGAUGGGGUAGUGUCGAUUUAUGACAUUGCGAUCAGAGAAAUUGAGUAUUGCUUCGUCGCAUCUGAACCUCAAGGCGGCCACAUCGUAUGCUUUGGCAGUAGCCUCGACUGUGUUCAAUGUUCUUAAUCAAUUACUGAAGGUUUCUUUGUGGAUCCCUUCUAUUUGCUGAUCAUCUGCCCAAUGGCGUUUGUCUAAUUCCUCUGAAGGAUUAAGCCAAAUGACAACAUUGUUUGACACAGUACUCACAGCCGAGGUGUGGGUCCCGCGUGAAUAAAAUAAUGCCGACCUCCCAUGUGAGUGUGUUGUGUCAACCAAUGUGUCAAAUUUUGUGGUAGUAUAGCAUGGUCUUUCCUCUGAAUCUUCUUUCUGUCUUGUUUCUUCACAUGUGGUAGUGUAGCAUGGUCUUUCCUCUGAAUCUUCUUUCUGUCUUGUUUCUUCAUGUGAAGGCCCGUACAUAUUUGAUUCUGGCGUUUUUGCUUGGUCCUGGCGACAGGUAUCUGUAGGUUUUGCAAUAUUUGUUCCAGUCUCUCGUUCUGUUGGAAUAAAACAUUACACAAAAUAACUGUUGUAAGUAGCUUCGCUUUGCUGAAUAGUUUUCCUUGAGAAUGUAUAUAAUAACACAACUAAAUAAAGAUUAAAAAUCGAUGGCCUUUAGGAAAGUCACGUAAAAUACUAUCCUAAAUUCGUAUUAG
This 3160-nucleotide long non-coding RNA is filed under the name Olea europaea subsp. europaea. The record is from RNAcentral. Lineage: Eukaryota; Viridiplantae; Streptophyta; Magnoliopsida; Lamiales; Oleaceae.